AUCCUACGGGGGGCAGCAGUGAGGAAUAUUGGUCAAUGGACGCGAGCCUGAACCAGCCAAGUAGCGUGCAGGAUGACGGCCCUAUGGGUUGUAAACUGCUUUUAUAUGAGAAUAAUUUUUUCCACGCGUGCGUUUUUGUAUGUAUCAUAUGAAUAAGGAUCGGCUAAUUCCGUGCCAGCAGCCGCGGUAAUACGGAAGAUCCGAGCGUUAUCCGGAUUUAUUGGGUUUAAAGGGAGCGUAGAUUGGUUGUUAAGUGUGUUGUGAAAGGUUGCGGCUCA
RNAcentral lists this ribosomal RNA (278 nucleotides) under uncultured bacterium. RNAcentral's name for it is "partial 16S ribosomal RNA". It matches the Rfam family "Bacterial small subunit ribosomal RNA", at positions 335 to 611 of the family's 1533-position model. The record is from RNAcentral.